UACGUAGGGUGCAAGCGUUAAUCGGAAUUACUGGGCGUAAAGCGUGCGCAGGCGGUUUUGUAAGUCUGACGUGAAAGCCCCGGGCUUAACCUGGGAAUUGCGUUGGAGACUGCAAGGCUUGAAUCUGGCAGAGGGGGUAGAAUUCCACGUGUAGCAGUGAAAUGCGUAGAGAUGUGGAGGAACACCGAUGGCGAAGGCAGCCCUGGUCAGAUGACGCUCAUGCACGAAGCGUGGGAGCAACAGG
Molecule: ribosomal RNA, 244 nt
Filed under: uncultured bacterium
Lineage: Bacteria
Description: partial 16S ribosomal RNA
Rfam family: Bacterial small subunit ribosomal RNA
Source: RNAcentral